UUUGUCCUUAAUUAGUGUUCAUAGAAUAUAACUUUAAAAGUAGCGGAACUUUUCUUUGAAAAUUUGUUUGGGGAGGGAAUGUUAUCGGUGGGACGCUUAUGUGCGGCUCCCUCUUGUACAUCAUGCGGUCGCCUCAGUCUAUGUUGCGUAUGAUGCCGAUGAUGAUGCUCGUGUUUUUCGCUCCUCCUGUACUCUUGUGGUAAUAUUUCUUCUCUGAAACGCAUUUUGACGCUAAGAGAAUGUGAUUAACAUGAUGAUUGUGUUAGUUAUGUUAAAACUGUAUCAGUGAAUGUGUUUUUUUAAUUAUUCAAAACGAGAUAUCAUGUCGUGAUCGUGAUGCUAACUGUUUAGCAUUAUAUGUACUAGUGUGUACCAGUGAGGGAGAAACUGACGCCUUGGAAUCAGUUCAUCCUGCUGGAUUUGUUUAAGAGGUUUUUCAAUAAAUGUUCAGCAAAAUAAAUAUUGCAUUCCAAGUAUGCAAGAGACGCGCUAGUAUGCACAGGACAUACAAGAAGCCCAACAAUGUAUUUUAAGAGAAGAAUGAGCUACCAAGAAGGUUCAUCCUGAGCAUGUACAUCAUGUUGUUCUUCAAACCUGAGAGGGAAAACACCAUCUCUGACAUCUUUUGACUGAAAACCUGUAUGUGUAGCAAAACCUACCAAAGUAUUCCCCUGAAAAAGACUCAAGAAAACCUGUCAAAUCAUGUGCACCAAGACUGUCCACAACCACACUGUGUCAAUUAUCUGGAAACAUUUAUCAGAGUCAAACCCACCUUGUGUCACGAACUACGAGCCAGCGCCUGAGGUGACGCGUCUCCGGAAUACUAUCGCGCUUCCGGACUACAUUUCCCAUCCACCACCAGUCCCGCUCAUUAUCACCGUCACCUGUUUCUCAUCUCCUCUCCCGUUAAAACCACACAUGAACUUGUCAUCUGUGCGAGGUCUCGACUAGUCUCCGUACUGUCAUUCUGAGCGUUUUCCUGUGUUCUGAUAUCCUGGUAUUGUUCUGUUUCCUGUUUCUGGCUCUUCUGUCUGUUUUCUGCCUGCCUGACCUUUUGCCUGUUCUCGACUCUGAUUUUUGCCUAUCCUCUUAUUUGUACCUCUGCCUGUCCUGAUUUUUGCCUGUCUGAACACUCUUCUGAUUGUGAUUAAAACUAAGCUGCAAAUGGAUACACAGCCGUAUGCCUCCUCAUUACACCUUGCUUCUCUAAAGUGAUGAGGUUGUUUACAAGAGGCUCAAGAAUUUUUUC
Long non-coding RNA from Tachysurus fulvidraco (yellow catfish), 1249 nucleotides. RefSeq lists it as uncharacterized. NCBI's taxonomy places the organism in Eukaryota, Metazoa, Chordata, Actinopteri, Siluriformes, Bagridae. The transcript has 3 exons. The record is from RefSeq and is a predicted model, not a curated record.